AUUUGACGCAACCCAAUAAAAAAAAAGCUAGAUAAUUAAUUUUCUAUUUUAAAAAUAAAACAAAGUCACAAAAGUUUACUUUUAGAAUCCCCAAAUCACCCCCGGCAAUCCCUAACUCCUUCCUCACUGAUCCCGUUUCUCUACGGUCGCCGCGAUUCAUAUUUUCCGGCCAGUGAACUUCACAAUUUUUCUCCGACCACCGACGUAUACUCCGCCGUCUCCGUCUCCAUUGCCUGUGGAUUUUGAAGCACAAGAGAAGAAGGGCCCUGGAUUGACCAUUCCAACAAGUUGUCCACAUAGCUUUCUGGGUUGCGAACUAUAAUUGAGACAUAAGGAAGCGUCUGCACUAGGCAGACUCCAUAUGGGGAUGAUCUUUUACUAGUCAAGUCGAGGAAUGAAUGCCUGUUAAGGACUUGAUUAGCUGAUCUGCCAUAGUAGGGUUCCAUCCUCAAGCUAUUAUCAGCUUGGGAAAGGACGAAUUCGCUUCAUUUUGAAGUAGGCGCGCUAUGGAAUUGAAUGCUAGUGUGUCCACAAAAAGGACAAUGAACCCUAGGAAGACAGAUAUUGGAGGUAAACCCUUCAUACUCAUCAUUUGUGGCAGCCUCGUUUACUACCACUGUGCCUAUCGGAAUUCUAGUCUUGUCUCUCUCAUCUCAGACGUCUUUAUUGUACUCCUUUGUUCCCUUGCCAUUCUCGGACUCCUCUUUCGCCAGAUGAACAUCUCGGUACCUGUGGAUCCGCUUGAGUGGCAGAUCUCUCAGGACGCUGCCAACAUGUUUUUUGCCUGCCUCGCCAAUACCGUUGGUGCUGCUGAGUCUGUUCUACGUGUUGCUUCUACUGGCCAUGAUAAGCGCUUGUUCCUUAAGGUUGUGGCUGCUCUGUAUGUUCUAUCAUCUCUGGGAAGGAUAGCUUCGGGUGUUACCAUUGCGUAUGCUGGUCUCUGCUUUCUUUGCCUUUAUAUGCUCGCUGAGAACUUGCAAUUGAUUAGCUCGAGGUAUCCUAGGAGAAGAGACAGCACAGACACAGUUCAGGACGACUAAAUUGAUUUGAUCUGGUUCAAAAGGGAUGAAGGAAGGAGUCAAUGCAUUAUUUACAGCUCUUGCUUCUAGUUAUGCCAGGUAAAAUUAGGCGAGUCAUGACCCAUCUCGAUUUUAACUCAUUUGAGUCCAACCCAUCUGUGCCAAAAGUAAACCUGGACAGGUCAUGAUCCAACCCGAUUUCUAUUUCAACAUAUUUUAUUAUGGAAAAAUUACCAAAUCCACAACUUAAGUUUUCUCACUCUCUCGUAAUUUUUUUGCUUUCGGUAUUAGAUUUUUUUAUCAAAAUUGUUUUAAUUUUUGUUGUUUAUUUUAAAUAUCUGAUACAUUUGAAUUCUCGUCCAUCGUUUAGUAUUGGUCAUAUACCCAUACUAAUCCCUAUUUUCUAACCCUCAUUAAUGGUCUAUGAACAAAUACAUGAAAUCAUUGUUAUUGUUGGCUGACUUGUGCAUCCUUGCACAUGAGUUUGGGAUACACAAUAUUUAACAUAUAUAUCUAGGCAUCUUUCUAUAUCCAUCUGUUGUUUUACUCCGUAACAUCUCUAUUGCACGGUCUUUAGCACGUCAUGCUUUUUGGUACGUAAUAUCAACUCCGUAGGCAGCUUUAAAAUCGUCAAUUAUGUCAUUUGGAGUGUGAAUUCUCUUAUGAUUAACCAAUUUCUAGGCAGUGACACCACUAACAAAGGGUAAGAGAUAGACUGGUCUAUAAAAAGGUACCUUCUGGAACUAGAAGAAGGAAUGUAGGAGUUAGUCUUCAAAGCUAUCCGGCAUAUGGGAAGUCAUGCUCAUUGGCUUGUGGCAGGGGUAACAAUUAUUCUAUAUUGCUGGGAUAAAUAGCCCCUUUCCCAACUCGAACUUUGUUUAUCUGAUGCUUGGCUUUAAAACUUUGUUGAAUAUCCUUUCUUUCAAUGGACAUGUAUGUACACCAUUGAAAUACCUCACUCUGAAUACAACAGAGCUUUUUCCUAAAAGAUGCUUAUAUAGUCCAAACACAGUCUUCUAAGUAAUAUUUUAAGACAUAGUUACAGAAUUUGUUUACCACAAUAUAUAUCAAAUUUAACAAACUUCAAAUUUUAUUAUAUGUAUCAGAUAUAUAUUAACACCACAGUGUAAUGUAUCAUUGACAAAAAAGACUAACUAACUACUUAAGACAAUUACAUGUAUAAUGUAUGUAUCGAUCACAAGCCAAACAUCGCAACAACAACAUGUUAAAUGUAUCAAGUAAAAAUACAAUACUUAUCAAUUAAAACAAGAUAAUAAUGUAUCAUGAUUGAUCUAUCAAUUAUACCUAUUGUUUUCUUUGUUUCAAUUAUUGUAGUAUUCAUUAUUGCUACUAUUCUUUUCAUCAUUUUUUUUUCCGCUUGACAUCUUCACUGUUGUAUUUUCUUUUCAUAUCCUUUUUGAUAUGCUUUACUCGAGUUGAGAGUCCCGCAGAAACUCUGCCCUCCCUAAACUUCUUCACAAUUCUUUUUCAUAUUAGAGAGUGCAACUUGGUGGGCAGUGGCAAAGUUAAACAUCUAGUGAGAGUAUAGAUAAACCAAGAAUAUAAGAUACAAAUAAGAAGAGAUGAUUUUCAAAGGCUGGCAGUUAGCCUAAUAGAGUUGAUAAACUGACCCCUUUGUUUGAUCAUGAAAAGUAUGACAAGAUACAAAUAGGGACCAUAUAUGAUAAUGUCAUUGCAUUAAAGUAUAUGUGAUGCAUUAUUUGUCAAAAAAAAAAAAAAGAAAGAAAGAA
Non-coding RNA from Solanum lycopersicum (tomato), 2770 nucleotides. NCBI's taxonomy places the organism in Eukaryota, Viridiplantae, Streptophyta, Magnoliopsida, Solanales, Solanaceae. The record is from RefSeq and is a predicted model, not a curated record.